ACUUAAAUAGCUUAUUUAGAGCAUAAUAUUGAAGAUAUUAAGGAAAUUUAGAUUUUUAAGUA
Molecule: transfer RNA, 62 nt
Filed under: Longitarsus rutilus
Lineage: Eukaryota; Metazoa; Arthropoda; Insecta; Coleoptera; Chrysomelidae
Also listed under: 1 other name
Description: tRNA-Phe
Source: RNAcentral